This 750-nucleotide ribosomal RNA is filed under the name uncultured bacterium. RNAcentral's name for it is "bacterial SSU rRNA". It matches the Rfam family "Bacterial small subunit ribosomal RNA", at positions 38 to 788 of the family's 1533-position model. The record is from RNAcentral.
GGGGGGGUAUUAAUGGCAGNNUCGACGAAGCAUGGCGUUUGGAAUUUUUCGGAAUGGAAGGUGCCAUGACUGAGUGGCGGACGGGUGAGUAACGCGUGGGCAACCUGCCCCACACAGGGGGAUAACAGCCGGAAACGGCUGCUAAUACCGCAUAAGCGCACAGCUUCGCAUGGAGCGGUGUGAAAAGCCUUCGGGCGGUGUGGGAUGGGCCCGCGUCUGAUUAGCUGGUUGGCGGGGCAGCGGCCCACCAAGGCGACGAUCAGUAGCCGGCCUGAGAGGGUGGACGGCCACAUUGGGACUGAGACACGGCCCAAACUCCUACGGGAGGCAGCAGUGGGGAAUAUUGCACAAUGGGGGAGACCCUGAUGCAGCGACGCCGCGUGAGCGAAGAAGUAUUUCGGUAUGUAAAGCUCUAUCAGCAGGGAAGAAAAUGACGGUACCUGACUAAGAAGCCCCGGCUAACUACGUGCCAGCAGCCGCGGUAAUACGUAGGGGGCAAGCGUUAUCCGGAUUUAUUGGGCGUAAAGCGAGCGCAGGCGGUUGCUUAGGUCUGAUGUGAAAGCCUUCGGCUUAACCGAAGAAGUGCAUCGGAAACCGGGCGACUUGAGUGCAGAAGAGGACAGUGGAACUCCAUGUGUAGCGGUGGAAUGCGUAGAUAUAUGGAAGAACACCAGUGGCGAAGGCGGCUGUCUGGUCUGCAACUGACGCUGAGGCUCGAAAGCAUGGGUAGCGAACAGGAUUAGAUGCCCU